This 249-nucleotide ribosomal RNA is filed under the name uncultured bacterium. RNAcentral describes it as "partial 16S ribosomal RNA". It matches the Rfam family "Bacterial small subunit ribosomal RNA", at positions 524 to 776 of the family's 1533-position model. The record is from RNAcentral.
UACGAAGGGGCUAGCGUUGCUCGGAAUCACUGGGCGUAAAGCGCACGUAGGCGGCUUUUAAGUCAGGGUGAAAUCCUGGAGCUCAACUCCAGAACUGCCUUUGAUACUGAGAAGCUUGAGUCCGGGAGAGGUGAGUGGAACUGCGAGUGUAGAGGUGAAAUUCGUAGAUAUUCGCAAGAACACCAGUGGCGAAGGCGGCUCACUGGCCCGGUACUGACGCUGAGGUGCGAAAGCGUGGGAGCAAACAGG